RNAcentral lists this small nucleolar RNA (136 nucleotides) under Propithecus coquereli (Coquerel's sifaka). Its description in RNAcentral is "Small nucleolar RNA SNORA8 (ENSPCOG00000000721.1)". It matches the Rfam family "Small nucleolar RNA SNORA8". Rfam says of the family: ACA8 is a member of the H/ACA class of snoRNA that guide the sites of modification of uridines to pseudouridines. Lineage: Eukaryota; Metazoa; Chordata; Mammalia; Primates; Indriidae. The record is from Rfam by way of RNAcentral.
UGCACAGCACGGUAUCUGCACUCAGCAGUUUAUUCCUGCUGAGGUGUUCAAAGGUCAAUGCCAUAGAAAUUCAGUAUCUGGAAUUGGUUUUCUUGGCUUUCUGCAUGUUAAACCUGGUAUUUCUAUAGUUUUCUCA